GCUUGAAGAGGCCUCAAGUCACCCUCAUGCGCAGGAAAAGGAUGAAACGCACAAAAGUAGCAAAGGCCACGUAAGCGAACCUGUAGUCAUAUGCCGCAUUUCACUUGAGUUGCUGCCACAGAGAGAAGCUCCAUCUGCGGUCAACAUGAAUGCAGAUCCAGAAACAGAGAAAGCAUCUCAGUCGUCUCUGCCAAACAUACGAACUAAACGCCAAAGCAGAAGCAGAAGAGGCUCAGAGUUUGUUGUGAAUAUGAUGGAUCUACCACAAAGAACCAGACCCCCCGACUAAGAUCCAGAGCCUCCCAGUGACAUUUGUUCAUCUUUCUCUUAAAUACACUUCUGUCAUGCUUCAAUUCACUACACAGCGUGUGACAGCACAUUAUUGCUAUUGCCUUUGGUUGACAGUGCUUUCCUUUCCUGUGUUCCUGUGUUCAGAGACAAUCCUCUGGUCAGGAUUUCAGGGACUUUUAUUUUUCGAUUCCUAAUGAUGCGUGUGGGUGAAAAAGAUGAAGAAAAAUAAUGAAAAAAAGAAAGAAAAACGUAUAAAUGCCAUGAGCUAGUUAACCAACAGCACACCAGUGGUUUUUUCAUACUGUUGAGUCGUCAGACUGACAGCUGACGGUCCAUUAUUAUGUCCUGAGGAGUAAAAUAAUUCAUUUAAAUGUAAAUAUCCAAUGAAAAAAAAAAAAUAUGAUAGUCAUAUUAUUCCAAAUGGGCCAUUAUGUGAUCCUAUUAUCAUUUAACCAAAAAAUUUCAUAGAAACAUGAUUGAGUAUUUUUUUUAAAAAAGUAAAUAAUUAAUUAAUUAAAAUAAUAAUAAUAAAAAAUCAAGCAGCUAUUUGACAAUUUAUAUAACUUAUUGGUUAUUAUUGAACACGUCCACAAAAAAAAACUGCAUUAAUAUUUG
Molecule: long non-coding RNA, 906 nt
Organism: Cyprinus carpio carpio
Lineage: Eukaryota; Metazoa; Chordata; Actinopteri; Cypriniformes; Cyprinidae
Source: Ensembl